This 1738-nucleotide unclassified non-coding RNA is filed under the name Hevea brasiliensis (rubber tree). Lineage: Eukaryota; Viridiplantae; Streptophyta; Magnoliopsida; Malpighiales; Euphorbiaceae. The record is from RNAcentral.
UUUGUAAACGCCAUAUCACACUCACCCUCACCUUACCUCCUCGCUUCCUUUCUCUUUCUCCUGAGUUUCCAAUUGAAAAGAAUUAAACAUUUCUUCAAUUCCUAUCCUCAAAUAAAUUCAACAGAACAGGAAAAAGAAAAGGAAAAAAAAAUCCAGCCUCUCUUAACAAGACAAAACAGAGUAGUUAGAAGUCAGGUCAUUCACAAACAUCUGUUGUAACCAGAAAAGCCAUUACUAGUACUACCCAUAAUUUCAUUUAUGGUGGAAGAAGAUUCAACACCAACUCAUAAGAAAAAACAAAAACCCAUCUUGGCUUGCUCUUUCAUCUGCUAACUGCUAAGGUUUGUGCUCCUUUUUCUUCCCUUUCUUUUUCUUCAAUGAAUUGACACAGUCGCAGGGGGAGAAAAAGUCUUUGUUUAGCUUCAGUAGCUCUCAGCUCUUAAGCAUUGACUCAUGAGGGUGACCUUAUUUUCUUCCAACCAGACGGUGGAAAAGCGAUUGCCCCAUUGCGUACGCGAUUCGUGGUCAUCUACUCAUCUAUAAACUUUCCGUUUGUUCUUUUCUAUUUCCCUAGAAAGUUAUGGAAAUGGCGGAAAAUCCAAAAUUGGAUUUGGCUUCUUGUCGCUGUGAGGCUGGAGGAUUAGAAGAAAACAUGGGAACCCAGAAAAUUUCUGCUUUGGAUCACAUAAAUGGAUUUCAAUACGCAACGGAGAAAUCUGAUAGCUUUGUUAUUGACAUGGAAAGCUUCUCCCAUGGCAGCAAUAAUAAAGAUAUCAACCCAAAUUCAAGAAUUACACUGCAGAGAAGCCUUUCCAGAAAAGGGUCUGUGCGCAGCGGCAGUGGCGGCGGAGGUGGCAGCGACAAGAAGAUUAAUUCUAAUCCUUCUCCUAAUGACAGAGACACUAUUGCUGCUGCCUCCUCACCAAGAGGUAUUAUUCUUAUUACAGUCAAUCAGAAUAAAUUAAUAUUUUUUUGAGACGUUGAUAUUAUCAUUAUUCUACCAUAUAAAUGGAUCUUCCAGGAAGGGAAGAAAGAAUCACAGGAAUUUGUAGCAAGAAUUAUUUUUAUGGUUGAUUUUGUUUUACCCUUAUGGAUCUUUGGAUCCUAUUUGAGACAGAGAGAGGGUGAUGGAGUUGUAAGACACUAGCAAACAAUAGUGAAUAAAUUAAGAAAUGGCCAUUUCUUGACGUUUUGCCACACGUAUAGCGUAAAAUACAAUAUAUUUUUUUUUUCAUCACCAACCAUUGCUGGUGCCAAUUGUUCUGUGACAACUCAACAAUCUUCACACACUCCUACUGCUAUUAUUAUUCUAAUUAUUAUUUUAUUCUAUGCAUCUUCAAUGGGGUUGAUCUACCUGGUAGUUGGCAAAUUCCGUCAUGGUUCAACAUUUUCUUAACUGCUGCUUUUGUUAUUAGGCUUUAAUAAUGUCUGUAACUAUCUUCAAAGAGAGUUUUUACAAUUUCUAAUAUAAUAAUUAAAGGAUUAAGGAUUUCAUAAGUAGAGAGAGAGAGAGUAGUUUUCGUAGUUGAAAGUUAGUGUAUUUAUGAUACCAAGGCACACCAGUUUACUGCUAUAAUAUUGUGGACCAAUAGUAGUUACUGAGUGAGAGUGAAAUGGUACCAACCUGCUGGGUCAACUUUGGAGAACACGGAAACCGAAUCUAGGAUUUGGGGUGGGCUUAGUUAAUUUUACAGGCAAAGUACAGGUUACAGAAACCUUAGUUGAAGGCAUGUGCAAU